CAGAGGAAGAGCCUCCUAAGAAAAGGGUACACAAUAGUGGAAUGAGAGAAAAGAGCAGAGAGAGCCAGAUGCCCACAUGAGAAGGGUCUGGAGGAAAGAGGCUGUUUGGGCAGAAAAUGAUGAUCCUUAGCUGCUAACUCUGUCAGCACAAAGAGAGUGGGACUGCAGAUGACCUCCAACACUGAAUAAACCAAAAAGGAUUCAUUUAACGUUUGAGAACAAAUUCUCAGGACACCCCAGAGGCCUUGAUAUGCUCAUGUGCCCUGCGUUGCACUGCAAUACGCCAGGAGGUGGCUGCAGUAAGCAGUAAAUCCACCUAACUGUGGGAUCAUCAUGUUAUUAAAGAAUAACAGGGAUCCCCUGUGAUCAGCAUUAAUGGACUGGGGCGAGAACAGAGAAGGUGACUUCACAUUUAUGAAUAUCAAAUAAUGAGGGCUCAGCUUUUUGCCUUCCAGCAGUCAAGUUCUUCUUCUGGGAAGUGCCUCUCUGUCGGGGUAACAAACAUUUUUAAGUUGACUGAUACAUUUUAAAAGUAGUAUGUAGAAAGGCUUUCUAAAAUCAAAAUCCAAUUUUA
This 574-nucleotide long non-coding RNA is filed under the name Homo sapiens (human). Its description in RNAcentral is "HSALNT0330851". Lineage: Eukaryota; Metazoa; Chordata; Mammalia; Primates; Hominidae. The record is from RNAcentral.